Molecule: ribosomal RNA, 109 nt
Filed under: Bordetella pertussis
Lineage: Bacteria; Pseudomonadati; Pseudomonadota; Betaproteobacteria; Burkholderiales; Alcaligenaceae
Source: RNAcentral
UGACGACCAUAGCAAGGUGGUCCCACUCCUUCCCAUCCCGAACAGGACAGUGAAACGCCUUCGCGCCGAUGAUAGUGGAUGUACAUCUGUGAAAGUAGGUCAUCGUCAG